UGCUGAUGAUAUGGGAAAUCCCUAAUAAGUAACUUAAAUCUCUCCCAUGAAUGAUAGAGAUACUCAUAUGUCUUUUGUUUGAAACUCAAUAUCUCAUCCUCAAUCA
Molecule: small nucleolar RNA, 106 nt
Organism: Capsicum annuum
Lineage: Eukaryota; Viridiplantae; Streptophyta; Magnoliopsida; Solanales; Solanaceae
Source: RefSeq, a predicted model, not a curated record